RNAcentral lists this unclassified non-coding RNA (332 nucleotides) under soil metagenome. RNAcentral's name for it is "partial contains 5.8S ribosomal RNA, internal transcribed spacer 2, and large subunit ribosomal RNA". The stretch from base 1 to 120 matches the Rfam family "5.8S ribosomal RNA", at positions 35 to 154 of the family's 154-position model. The record is from RNAcentral.
GAUGAAGAACGUAGCGAAAUGCGAUAAGUAAUGUGAAUUGCAGAAUUCAGUGAAUCAUCGAAUCUUUGAACGCACAUUGCGCCCGCCAGUAUUCUGGCGGGCAUGCCUGUUCGAGCGUCAUUUCAACCAUCAAGCCCCAGGCUUGUGUUGGAGCCCUGCGGCUGCCGCAGCCUCCCAAAACCAGUGGCGGGCUCGCUAUCACACCGAGUGCAGUAGUUUACUCUUCGCUCAGGGCGUGUGGCGGGUGCUAGCCGUAAAACCCCCAACUUCUCAAGGUUGACCUCGGAUCAGGUAGGAAUACCCGCUGAACUUAAGCAUAUCAAUAGCGGAGA